UCAGUUUUCGCUAGCUAUUCAGUCGUGCUGCUGCUCAUUUCGCACCUCUUAGUAGUAAAAAAAUGUAGUUAAAUAUCACAAAAAGUAGUUUUUUAGUAGCGCAAAGUUCUGGUGAAAAAUAUGUUAAUUUUGUACGCGGAAUGUGCGAGUAACGGUACGUGACAGUGUGCACAAGAAAAUAGGAAUAAUGUUUUAUUGAUAUUUGGCACAAAGUAUUUGUUUAUUUGUUAUUUUGCAUUGGCUUAAUUUUUUUUAUUGUAAACCAUGGAUGAAGAUACAGAACAAUCUCCUCCAAAAGUCCCAGAUUCGCCCAAACCGCUAGCUUUUACGAUAGAUUUUGGUAACACUAAAAACGUUGAUACUCAAAGGCAGAAGGCUUUAGCAGAAAAGUUUCAAAAACGGCACAAAAGGGGACAAUCGCUGUCUAAACUGGAAGACUCCCCUACAGUAACACAUCCCAAGCAACAUCCUCUAACAGGAAAUCUCCCAAGAAAGUUUAGUUUUCAAUCUGAAGGGUAUUUUUCUUCAGAUGAAAAACCAGAUAGAGUCAAAAGUGCUAAUGCCCGCAUUGGUACCUCAAGUGCCAAACGCAGUGACUUAACUCUUUUAUUAAAAAAUGUUACUACAGACAGAUUAAAUCACACAGUUUCAAAUGCUGCAGACAGGAUGACUCAGUCUUUUCCAACCUCAGCUCUUUCAUCCAUUUUGAGCCCGGAAAUUGAACUGAAAGACGUUUCUAGUCCAGAAUUAGACCUCAUUAGCCCUUUUAGUCCCAAAGAACAAUCUAGUAGUCAAGAAAGCUCCAACUCUGGUAAGAAAAUUCAAUUUUUAAGUCCUGAAUGCGAAAAGCUUUAUAUUGGUGAAAAUAGUGAGCAAGAAAUGUUUGUUGACAGUUCUGAAUAUGAUUUCGAUAAGUCUGAUACUGCGAGUGAUGCAGGAACAUAUACCCUAGAUGCUGACAAUUACUCAGAGGAACAAAAAGCAAGAAUGAGCAUCGAUAGAGAAUUUAAAAUUGAACAAAUUUCAGUCCAAAAGAAAACUGAAGAGUAUGUGAGAAGCUUAGCUACGAUGAGAGAUAAUGUUCUGCAAAACGCUGCACUAAUAAAUCAAAGGAAUUUUAAAGAAAAUGAAGUUCUCAGAGGUAUGCACAGUAUGAACAUAAACUUGAACAAUAUUCCCAAAUCACCGAAGUCACCUACUGUGAAAAAAAUGCCCGCAGCUACACCUACACAAGCUCAUAGUAUAUUGUCUCCGAUCAUGUCUCCAACACAGAACAUAUCUAUUACAGAUGUGCAGCACAUUGACGAACCCCUCAAUAACAGUGACUGUGAUUUAAAUAAUACUUUUACGAAAAUUAUGUUUCCUAGUCCUAAUGCCAAAAGAGAUGGAUUAAAACAAAGUUACGAUCAGGGCUCAGUGAUAUCGGUAACUUCAAGUGGAGCGUUUAAACCGAAAGUUGAGAAGAAACCAGAUAAACUGGCGAGUCUUACGAAGUCUGAGGUGCAAGUUCAAGCCUACAUAGACGACAAAAAUUAUGCCGAUGUGUUCACAGAGCCACCAGCUAAAAAGGACAACAAGAAAGUUGUUCCCAAGUUGACAGCUACUAUCGUUAAUGUGCAAAGUAUAGAUGUACAAAGUUCUGUUGAUUCUAGUGGUGUUUUAAGUGCAAAUAUCGUUGUCACUCCUAAAAGCGUUAAUAAUCUACCACCUACUGUGGGAGGAUAUUCAGCCAAAGUAGCUUCGUCCAAGAUACCUUCACCAACACAUAUGGUGUCUCGUCCACGCAGCCGAAACAGUGUAAGUUCGUUAAAUAUAGAAUUUUCUGACAGUUCUCUAGAUACUGAUUCCAUUUUAAAACCUACUCAAAACUAUAUCAAUUCUCUGCAACAGAGGUUGUCGUUAGAUAGUGAUCCUGAUAGCGAUUAUGAUGUUCGUGUUCAAUUAAAUAAUACUGCACAUUUGUUAAAACAGAAAGCUUCACAUACUAGACACAAUUCUUUAGACGACAGAACUAUGAAUAAUUCGAACAAAUUAGAACACUUCCAGAACAAAAACCUACUGGGUAUUGAUCAAACUUACUCAAAUUUGUUAAAUCAAUAUUCUCAGAAUAAGGUGAUGCACAAAAUACAUAACUCCCCAAACAAUUCACCAAUCAGACGAUCCAGCAGUUUUUCCACCAAAAAUCAAAUUCUUUCAUCCAAAAAUACUAAUGUUAAUGUAGUUCAGAAAGAGUCUAAUAUCCGUAAUUCUCCAAAUGUUAGUCGAAACACCACUAUACAGAGGAGUUCCUCCACAGCAUGCAUAAAGCCAAAUUAUAUUUUAAAUCGAAGGGGAAGUACGGAACAUCAAAAGAUUGACAGGAGUCAAUUUGGUGAUACAGAGUCGAGUAGUGAGGAAGACUUUGAAAAGAAUAAUCAGAAACGUAAAGACUUAUCUAGUAUAACAAACACUAGGUGCAAUAGAGCUUUUAGUUUAAGAAGAGCACGAGCAGACAACGAACCAAGCCCUCUGAAAUGUCCAAAUACUCCAGAAAUGAGGCGAAAGAUCUUCCAGCCUGAGUUAAAACACGAACGAGCAAUUUCUGUUGAUAGAAAACCGAUGAAAACUAACGAAGUGCAGAGUCGAUAUUUAUUAAAUAUAACUAAGAAACCCCCCGCGCCAGUGACUCCCAAGGAUGUGAAAAUUGUGCCAAAAGUUCAAAAUGCGACUAACAAGUCUACGCCUGCUAGGCCGCAAAGUUUCGCCAGGACAGAUAGUGGUAGAUUUAGUAUGCGAACGAGUAAACCGCCCAUUACGAAUAGUGCUUCGAAAGGACUUAAGAAAGAUGGAAGUGGAAAGAAACAAGGUGGAAUUCGCAGCAACUCUUCCCUCUCCAGUCGAGAAGUAGAAUUCCAGAAUUGGAAGAGGCGAAAGAGCUACGAUCCGAUGAAGGCGGCUGCGGAAGGAAAGAAAAAGGAGCAGGCUAAAAGACAGAGCCUCGGGAUUGGUCAGAAUUCCAUGACGCAAUCGUACACCGAGGCCAACCACAGUCAGGACAGUUCACCAUCACAUUCUAGCUCGGUUCACAGAUCACAGAGCUUUCACGGUACAGCUGCCCUCGAGCAACUGAUCAGUUCGGAGGAAGAAGAAGAAGAAGACUUGACCUUGUCAGCCGACGAAGGCUUUAGUCCGCCUACGCCCAGCCCCUGCGAGUUAAGCCCUGCUAGAGCUUCCUUGAGGCAUACCCUAUGGGAACGAAUACGACAUUAAAGCCCAUGACCAUGUUGUUUAUGUUACGAUUGCGAUUUUUCGGUAAAAAUGAUAUUCCGCGAGCCAUAUAUAAACUUUUAAAUACAUCUUUGUUCACUUAUCGCAAAUGUCUUUCAUCUAUAGUGCAAUAAACAUCGAUUUCUUUGUUUUACGAAAGUGUGAGCAAAUCUCUCAUUUAGUCCGACUUGUUGUAAGUGUAGAUGGAACAGUAAGACCUUGGUGUGAGAGCGUUGAAUUAUGUGGAGAUCUUUUAAAGGAUUAGUUUCAGGAUUAUGAAGCUUAAGCUGCUGUAAGUCAAUAACUUUACAUAUUGUAGUCAUUUCUAAUGUUCUAAUCAAGAGUGAUGCCCAGAUAAUAAUACUUUUUCUAUGUGUGAGCAAAUCUCUCACCUAGUCCGACUAGUUGUCAGUGUAGGUGGUAAGACAGUGUGGACAGUAAGACCUUGGUGUACAAACGUUAAAUUAUGUGAAGUUCUUUUACAGGACUAGUUUCAGGAUUAUGCAGCUUAAGAUGCUGUAAGUCAAUAACUUUACAUAUUGUUGUCAUUUUUAAUGUUCUAAUCAAGAGUGAUGCCCAGAUAAUAAUACUUUUUCUGUGUGUGAGCAAAUCUCUCACCUACUCCGACUCGUUGUCAGUGUAGGUGGUAAGACAGUGUGGGCAGUGAGACCUUAAUGUAGAAACGUUGAAUUAUGUGAAGUUCUUUUGAAGGAUUAGUUUCACGCUUUCAGCAUUAAAGCUUAAGCUGCUGUAAGUCAAUAACUUUACAUAUUGUGUGUCAUUUUUGAUGUUCUAAUCAAGAAUGACGUCCAGAUAAUAUCCUUUUACACAAUAUUUUAAGUACAUAAAAUACCGUUUGAGGGAUUAGUAGUUUUAAAAAUUCUCGUUAGUUUGAAGGAAUCAAAUUCCUCGAUACACAGUGCUUAAAAAAAUUUAAAUAUAAAAAAAUCGCGAAUAUCAUUUUUACCUAUUGUUACCUUGUUCCAAAAGGUUUAUUUAAUGAAUAAGUUUAUGUAAUUUAUUUUUAUGUGCAUAGGUGAUGUCUAUUUGAAAACCAUUUAAUGGUAAUAAUUGUGGUUUUCCCUGUAAAUACAUUUUGUUUUCAAAGUUAUCUUAGCAUGCAGUAUUUCAGGUAUUUAAAUACUUGUGCAUCAAAUACAAUUUGUUGUUUAGGUCAUUUAAAUAAAAUAUACAAUUUUAAAAUUUGCUUUUUGAUACUAACGAACUUGUAACGACUAAUAAUUGUGCAAUACUCUGAAAAACUGCUCGAGAUAGUCUUCAAAAUGCCCUUAAAGUUCAAUAUAAUCCUGGUUGUCUCAUUAAACUCAUGACCAUCUUUCCUAAGGUCUGAAAAGUUGAAAAUUGUCGGGCUAUAGUCAAAGAGUUAAACAAAUUUCUGAUGUAGUGACGUAGAAGAAGAAAUUAAACUUUUAAUGAAAGUAUAUAUAGUAAUUUUUUAAAAAUUUAUUGCAAGUGAUAUUUAUAUUUGGUAUACAGAAUGGUAACUGAUUAUUAUUAUGAAAUAAAUAUAGUAAUUUCACAUGAUGAUGGAAUUUGUUCUUUUCUGUAAUAUCAAAAGUAAGUAUAUUUAAAGAAAAGCAAAUCAGGACCAUGAUAAAUUAAGAAGAAACAUACGUGGGUUAGGUGACGUUAGUUAGUUAAGUUCAGGUGAAAUAAAUGGGUGGUUAAAUAUGAGACCACUUGUACUUCCAUGCAUAUACGCAGCAAAGUGUGGUUGUAUAUUAUAAAAUCAUUAUUCGUUUGUAAAACGAACUGAAGAUCUGUAAAAGAUCUGUAAUUGCGGGUGGUAACCAUAGCGACCAGUUAAAAGUAAAGUCCUAUGAACUACAUAAAUUCGUAUCACAUAGGUCUCAGCUACUUAUUAGAUAUCUACAUAUUUAAAUGUAGUGAAAUAUCCCUUCAGAAAUUAUAUCUGUCUAUGAAAUAUUGUUUAUAAUUCCAACCACAAUGUUUAAUCAUUCUGUAUCCGAUUUAAAUACCUUAGUUGCUAAAGCUGUAUUAUACACUGCUUAAUAAACUACAUGUACUAUACCAUUUUCUGUGAUAAUAUCCAACAAUGAUUUACUUCUAAAAAACUAUAUAAAACUUUGUGCCAAAUAAUAUAUAGAGAGUUUUCUUUGAGAAAGUUUUUAAAAAAUAUUAUAAAAUUGAUCUUAUAUUGGUGUACAGUGUGAACAUAGUACUAAAAAAGAAAUUUUUUAUUCAAAGGUUUAUCAACUGAUAUAAAUAAGAGCAUACUCCAAAAAUUUUAUAGAAUUCCAAUAGUUUACUUCUAUAUAGUGUACAUAAUUGCGGACUCCACAGACCAGUCAAAUAGUGACUAUAUAAGGUAUAUAAACUUAGCAGACAUGGAUAUCUAUCGGACGGCAACUCUUGUGAGUCGCCUUGGUUCUUCGAAUAUAAGAAAUAAGUCUUCGUAAAGACAAUGGUGCCAACUUUACAUAGCCACAAGGCAUUUACUCAACUCACUACACAAACAUAUCGAUAAGUUCUGGUGCAGAAAGACUGCUACAGUGCAAUCAUGUAGCAAUCUCAUGUGAGAUUUGAAGAGUAGGUAAUAUUACAAGAAUUUGUUUACAUUUGUUAAUUUCACACUGUAUACUCAAUAUUUGGAGUAUUCCUUGCGGUAUACUCCAGUGUUCUAAGUUUUUUCAUCGUGUUAAAAUGCACUUAAAGUUUCGUGUCAAACGCCAACGAUUAUAUUGAACUUUACAGGUUUAGCCACCUACAAUACGUUUAGUUUUCGAUUAGAUAUAGGCGACUGAAAAAAGCGCUAAAAUCGGCAACAUUGCUUAUAACACACUAUCGUUAUGGCGAAUGGCGGAAGACAGAGCGACGGAGUUAGAAUCGGAGAGAAUCAGGUGUAUUAGCGCGGGAAGGGAGACCGUCUGGUACUCGAUGGCGCUCAGUGUUGCCACUUAUGGUAUGUAUACCUAAUUUAAAACUAAACAUGCUGUAUUUUAGUAUAACAUUGUAACUUUAACAUGACAAUUUGAUUUUAUCAACAUUGUUUGCUGUGAUAUUCGUUCUAUUUAUGAUUAUUUAACUAAUAGUAGGAAAUAAGAAGUAGUCCACAACGAACCGUAUAUGAAAGACAGUUUUAGAUAGAUGUUUUCGAUAAUAGUUGAUAUUUCAUAAAUCAGAAGGAAAGGAAUUGAUUGAUUUUUAAUGGAAUAUAAUAACUUGACUUUCCAGACCUACAGUUUUAUUUACAAUUCAUCUUUUUAAUAUUUUAAUAGUAAACAUAUUAUUAGCAAUUUGCCAAUUUUGUCUUCACCUAAAAUAAUGAAGAUCCUAUUAUCAUACUAAAAUCACUGUAGUAGAAGUAAUCCUGUUUGUUGAUAAUGGAGCAUAGUAUAGUAUAUCCUGAUAGCUCACCAAGAAAGAGGAUCAAAUUAGUCAAAAAUAGACUAGAAUUAUUUAUUGGUGAUAGAUAAACAGUUGCCAUUUUUAAAAAAUCGCCACCUUCAGUCCUAAAAUACAUUGAAAAAGCUAGUAUAACUAUUUUUCUCCUUUUCUGUCCAAAAAAGAUAGAAAAGAGAGUAUUUGUCUUCAUGUUUUAUCUUAUUAUGUAAUAUUUGUAACUGAACUUGCAAGUAUUUAAUAAAAUAGGGAACUUGCAAUUUUUUUAUUACAUAAUAAUGUUCAGUUUUGUUUAAAAAUGAAAUUUCCAAAAUUUCACACUUCAAAAACUCAUAAUAACUUAGAAAUACAAAUUUAACAUCUUCUGCGAUAUUGAAAUAGUUCAAACGACCCGUGACGUCACAUAGUUUUACUAUAUGGUUAUAUUUAUGGUUCUUCUUCGUCGUCUAGCCAUUCACGUCCACAUCUGAACAUAAGCCUCUUCAAGUCUUCCUUUACAUUGUUUUUUGUUGUACGCUACUUGUAGAAAAAUUUUCCCGGCAGUUCGUUUCAGAUCAUCUGUCCAUCUCAUAGGAGGUCUGCCUCUGGGUCUUUUAUGUGGUGGUAUGGUCUCCAGGUUAGAAUUGUUCUGUGCCAUUUGUUUAGAUCGCUCGUAGCUACAUGUCCAGCGUAUUCCCAUUUCAAUUUUAAUGAUUUUUGUACCACAUCAGUGACUUUGGUUUUCUGUCAUUUAUGGUUAUAUUUAGGUAUAUUCUUCUUCUCCUUCUUUAGUUUAUUGGCCUCCACCUACUUGGGUAUUUGUCCAGCUCAUCGUCGCGAAAUAAGGGAAAAAUAUUUAUAUUCUAAUGACAUUUGUGGUAUGUCAUUGUAAUAAUAUAUACCAGUUUGUUGAGAUUGGAGUUUGAUACAGUUUUUGAAGGAAGGGAAAGAAGGUUUACUAUGGAAAAUAAAACUAUUUUGUAAAAGUACAAGUUUUCUAUGAAUAGUUCAAACGGUCGAAACACUUCCGACGUCACAUAACUGUUUUUUCUACUGACUUAUAUAUAACUUUGUUUACUUUGUUGAUGCAGAAUGUAAACAUUAACCAUAUGACGUCACGACGCGUCUUGGGCUAGCUGCUUUAAUUUGAAUUUAGAAUCGUCUUUAUCCUACGCCCUGAAGGGCACUAAGAAUUAUGAGAAAAAAGAAGAAGAAGAAUCGUCUUUAGGGGCCAAACGGAACACAAAAAUAAGUUUUUGAAGUUAUACUCCUUUAGGCGCGAUUGAGAGUAAAAUUUUUCAUAAAUCUGCGCGCAUGCGCACACAGACAGUAUGACGUUUAGUUGAUAAUCUUUCAAAUUAUGUAUCAGCGCAAAUAAGCCAUUAAAAUAAUAUAUUAGUGUUUUUUAGUAAAUGUAUUAUUUAUUAUAAUUUUGUGUCUUUGGAUUUGUCUUCUGUCUUGGCGUAAAAUAAUAAAACAUCUAUUUUUAUAUUUCACUUGUCACCGUGAUGUGUAAUUAUGUAUAUCUGAAACGUCAGUAACAUGCGCCUUGAUGGCCUGGUUGGUAGAGCAUUGGACCAGAGAUCGAGAAAUCGCGAGAUUGCGAGUUCAAAUCCCGGACGAUUCAUACUUUUUUCUUUUUUUUUUAAUAUUUGGCAUUGUUAAGUUUUGGUUAAUUUUUGGUAAUUAUUGUUAAUUUUUUGUAUUGUAACUGUUAAGUAUAUUUAUUUCGUUGAAAUUAUAAUAAUAGAAGUAUAACUUCUUACGUGCGUACAAAGUACACACACAUUCUUUUUAUCUUUGAUACAUGUUUUAAAUUAUGUUCAGUUGUGAUUUAUAACAUUUUUUCGAAUUUAAAAUUUUAUACAAGUUCCCUAUUACAAUUGAUCGGUAAAAUUACUAAUUUACACCACACUGUACGGUCCUUGUUAUUAAGGUGCAAAUGUGCAGGUAGGUGCUAUUUGUCAAAACUGUCAUUUUUCCUAGACAGACUCUAUUGAAAACUAAGAUUAUAUUAUAGAGUAAAUAUGGCAAAUUUAAAUUUAAAUAAAUAAGUACAUAUUAGUUACUACUAAGCUUUGUUUUUAAACCAAGAGCAGUAAACUAAAAAGACAGAUUCACACCCAAGAAAGUCACUAGAAAUAUCACCAAAUACAUCCUUUUUUGGUUGAUCAUAUCGGCCUUUGACGGUUAUCCAUACAUAUUAUAUUAUACUAAUAAGCGACAUAUUAAUAUGUCACUAAAGAGUUCUAAAAACAACUGUUUUUAUAUAAAAACAGACUAAAAAUCUAAAAAUUAAAGGAAUAACACAGAAAAUACAAAAAAUCGCUAAUAUAACUUAAUUAACCUAUGAAAUGGCAAUAGUGUCAAAAUUUUAUAAAUGUCAUUAGUGUUAAAAUUUUAUAAAUGUCCUUAGUGUCAAAAUUUGAUAACAGUGGAGUAAACUUGCCUGAGCUUGGACUAAUUACAAACAAGCUUUAAGGCGCGAGAAAUUUGAAUACUCUUGGUUUAAAAACAAAUUAUAGUACUAACAAAGUAUCUGCAUAUCCUGUUUCCACGGGCACUAGAAAACACGUAUUAUUUUCGUAAGACUCGGUAAAUUAAUCUAACCUGAAAUACAAAAUAUAAACUCAUAUUCAUUAUUCUCUUAUAAUGGUACUCGAGAUUAGUAUUUUUGCAGAAAACAAUUUUUGAAACGUGGCAACGUUGGUUCUAAAAACUAGACAAAACGCAUACAAACGUCGUUGUCUAAGAUUUUUUGGCACUCAUGCAAGAUGAACUUAUCUUCUUUUCGUCCUCUGUUUAUUAUUAAAACUGUGUGGUCUUGAAAGUCAAGUAAACUGAAGUUUGGUCACAAUAUAAUGCUAACGAAUCAGUAGGGUCACUCUCGAUUUUGACGGUUCCAAUUUUGCAAUUGCAUUAGACAAAAUUUUGAAUGCGCGACGAUAAGGACCAAUCACGACAAAUGUGCGACGGUAACGACCAACCACGGCAAACGUAGGAUCCUGUUAACUGUCAUUCGUCUGCGCAAAGAAAUAUGCGCCGUCACACAAAUGCAGAGUUGCCAACCGGAGAAUUGUUGCAAUCUCCUUUUUUGCGGGAAUUUUCAACAUAAAAUGUUAUAAAAGGGAAAAAGUUAACUCAAAAGGGAAUUUUUGCCCCUGUCCAAAUUGUAAAAUAUUUAAAAAAAUCGAAAUAUUUGAAAAUAAUUCAAUAUAUCUACUCAGAUUUUGUAAACAGGAGGGAAUUUUUUCACAAAAGUGGGAAUUUUUAAUGUAAGUUGAGGGAAAAAGUUUGCUCGACGGUUGGCAACACUGCCCAAAUGUAACAUAGAGAUCAACGGAUUUUUCGCGGCGCGGAGGAACCCUAUUGAUUCUUUGGCAUUAUACUGUGGUUUGGUGUUAUUGUAUUGAGCAGCAUAAAUAUAAAUGCAAUACAGCUUAUUCUUUAAAACAGCAGCCAAAUAUAUAUUUAAUUCGUAACGAAAUAAAGUAAUUUGUAAUAUAUUAAUUAAUUUAAAGAUCUAUAUUUGUAUUUUUGGAUUGUAUCGGUUAGUUUUUAGCUUUUAAUCAUACUGCAUUACCUGUGCACAUUUAUGUUAGUAUUAUUUAGUAUUUUACCCUCUAUUAUGCAUAUCAUCACAUUAUUUAUACCACCAAGUCUAUAAAUAAUUUUGAAAAAAUAUAUUUUUCUCAGACUUUUAAUUUUUUCAAUGUAGGUUUGUUAAUGUCCAACGAGGUUUGUAUUUUCCUGGAUAGAUAGUAAUUUGUAAAGUAUUGAAGGAUUUUGGAUCUAAUUUUAUGAACCUUUUUAUUUUUUGGGUGCCGUGUUCGUAUUCAGACGUUGGCACUGGGGGUUGGUACCCCCGAUGAUGGGGUUGAUUAAGUUGAAAACACUAUUUACCAGACAUAUAUUUAUUUGGAACACUAAAUACGCCAGUAACUAGUUGGUGGACAAAGUCUAUGAUCUAACCCCAUCGAUGUCUGAAUAAUGAAUGGAUCCCUUCUUUACUUUCUCCGUAUCUAUAAAUAAAUCGUAAUUGUUUUGUCAUGAUUGACGACACCCGAAUGUGACCGUGAACUACUAAUAAUAUUAGAAUCGCUGACUUUGGAGUUUUAAAAACGAGUGGCCUACAUUGCAACAUCAAUGUCACCUAUUUAUGUAAUGUAAACACUGCAUGUAGACAAGACUUUUAAAAAUUAAAUCGUUAUGGAUUAUUCUUAUUUUUUGAUGCUAAUAUAAAUCCUGUACAAGCGAAGCUCUUCUAAUUAUAUGACCGAAGUAUUCCGUUUUUCUCCUUUUUAUAAUAUUUAUGAGCAGGCGGUCUGAAUUUAUCAUUUUAAGAACAUCUUCAAUGAAAGUGUGUGAAACUCACAAUAUUUUUAGGAUCUGUCGAUAGUACCACAAUUCCACGAGAUUCUGAGCAUGCGACGGUAACACCACAACGCUUUUAAUUUAUUAAGAUUUUUUAUUUUUGUUGUCCAUGUUUCACAUCUAUAGAACAAAUCGGACCAGACGUAGCACUUUAAUACUCUUAGAUCUGUGGUCAAUGACAGACUUCUACUGGACAAUUAACUUCUACCGCCAGUUAAUUUCUCGUGCAAGUACUAUUUUAGUCGAAAUGUUCUCGACACUUUCAAGCCUGAAGUCAAUCCAGCUACCCAGAUAUCUAAAGUGUUCCAUCCUUUCUAGGAUUUUGUUAUCUAAUUUUAGUACUGAGUCUUUAAUAUUCAUUUUUCCGACCACCAUCCAUUUUGUUUUCUUUGCGUUGAUUGUUAAGCCCUUUUGAGUGCAUUUGUUGUUUACAGCGUUCAACAGGGUUUGAAAGUCUUCUAGACCUUUAAACUGGGGUAAGUUUAUUAAUGUUAUUAAUGAUUUCACCACCGAUUUUAAAAUCUUCGCGACGAUUAUUUAUCGCUAUCUCAAAAACUGGUUCAGUGUAGGUAUUAAACAACAUCGGUGACAUAACGCCUUCCUGUCAGACACCACGUUUAAUAGAAAUUUUAGCUGAAACCUCUUGAUCCACCUUGAUACAAGCGGUCUGAUUGUAGUAAAGCUUUUUGAGCAAUCUUUUGUAUGUGGAACUCUAUCAAAGGCUUUCUCGAAAUUUAUAAAACGUACUUAAAUAUUUUUCCUACACUCAAUGCUCUUUUGUAAGAGUAUUCGCAUAAAAUAAUGAGCUUCCCGAGUACUCAUACCGUAUCGGAAACCAAACUGCUCAUCACCAGAUAUCCCCUUACAGCCUUCUUUCGUUUCGCUUGGUCGAUGGCCUUUUAACUUCUAAGAUUAGAAUCGUAAGGCCUCUAUCUCGGUUAGAUGUUAUUUCUUGAUAGAUUCUUUGGUCAUCUUUAAAUAAUUCUAUUCUGCAGUGUUUAUGUUCGGUACAGUGGUCUUUAAUAUCAAUUUAGGAACAGUCGGUUUUGUAUAAUUCGUAAAAUUAUUUUAAGUUUAAGUGUGUGACUUAUCAAACUGAUUGUCUAAAAUCGCUGCAUUUGGUGGCUCUGCUUUUCUUUGGUAAUGUUAUCAACAGUGGCCCCAAUCAAUCAUCUGGUGUUUUACUUCGUUGUAAAUUUUGUUAAAGAAAGUGGUUAAGUAGGUAAUGUUUUCCUCGUCCAAAGGUUUAAGUAGCUCAGCAGGGAUUUAUUGGAAGAUCUGAUCCGGAAGAUACAAACUUUACUGAAUUUUCAUUACUCAACAUUUCUAAUUUCUAAAAAGUAGCACACAUAUUGUUUUAUUACCGAACUACGUUAGAAAUAUGGGUGGUACUUUUCUUAAAUGUUAAACUUAGCAACUUAAGUGUACAUGAUAAAGGAAAAUUGUGAUUUUAUAAUCUGAGAUUACUAAGUGUGCUGAUAGUUUUUAAUUGUCCAUUAAUUCAUUAGGUUUUGCUAUAUAUUCUAAAAGCUUGUUAUUUAAACUGCAAUUAUGAAAUAUAUUAGAUAAUAUAUAUAAAGGAUAAGCAUUUUUUAAAAAUACAUAGUAUGUUUGUACUUUAACUUAAGAAUGUUUUUGUUAGCGACCUGAUAAACUUUAUGUGCUGCUCAUGUUUAAUAUUUUUGCUUUAUAAAUACAUUAAUUUCCAUUUA
Molecule: RNA transcript, 12695 nt
Organism: Diabrotica virgifera virgifera (western corn rootworm)
Lineage: Eukaryota; Metazoa; Arthropoda; Insecta; Coleoptera; Chrysomelidae
Exons: 4
Source: RefSeq, a predicted model, not a curated record